CAGUCGCCGCGGGAAUACGGAGGGUGCAAGCGUUAAUCGGAAUUACUGGGCGUAAAGCGCACGCAGGCGGUCUGACAAGUCAGAUGUGAAAUCCCCGGGCUUAACCUGGGAACUGCAUUUGAAACUGUCAGGCUGGAGUCUUGUAGAGGGGGGUGGAAUUCCAGGUGUAGCGGUGAAAUGCGUAGAGAUCUGGAGGAAUACCGGUGGCGAAGGCGGCCCCCUGGACAAAGACUGACGCUCAGGUGCGAAAGCGUGGGGAGCAAACAGGAUUAGAUACCCGAGUAGUCCCUGUCUCUUAUAC
This 301-nucleotide ribosomal RNA is filed under the name uncultured bacterium. RNAcentral describes it as "partial 16S ribosomal RNA". It matches the Rfam family "Bacterial small subunit ribosomal RNA", at positions 509 to 807 of the family's 1533-position model. The record is from RNAcentral.